Molecule: ribosomal RNA, 491 nt
Filed under: uncultured bacterium
Lineage: Bacteria
Description: partial 16S ribosomal RNA
Rfam family: Bacterial small subunit ribosomal RNA
Source: RNAcentral
GAUGAACGCUAGCUACAGGCUUAACACAUGCAAGUCGAGGGGAAACGGCAUUAAGUGCUUGCACUUUUUGGACGUCGACCGGCGCACGGGUGAGUAACGCGUAUCCAACCUUCCCAUGACUAAGGGAUAACCUGCCGAAAGGCAGACUAAUACCUUAUGGUCUUCACUGACGGCAUCAGAUGUGAAGUAAAGAUUUAUCGGUUAUGGAUGGGGAUGCGUCUGAUUAGCUUGUUGGCGGGGUAACGGCCCACCAAGGCAACGAUCAGUAGGGGUUCUGAGAGGAAGGUCCCCCACAUUGGAACAGAGACACGGUCCAAACUCCUACGGGAGGCAGCAGUGAGGAAUAUUGGUCAAUGGGCGAGAGCCUGAACCAGCCAAGUAGCGUGCAGGAUGACGGCCCUAUGGGUUGUAAACUGCUUUUGUAUGGGGAUAAAGUCAAUCACGUGUGAUUGUUUGCAGGUACCAUACGAAUAAGGACCGGCUAAUUCCGU